Molecule: ribosomal RNA, 129 nt
Filed under: Iberodes linifolia
Lineage: Eukaryota; Viridiplantae; Streptophyta; Magnoliopsida; Boraginales; Boraginaceae
Also listed under: 1 other name
Description: 5.8S ribosomal RNA
Rfam family: 5.8S ribosomal RNA (bases 1-89)
About the family: 5.8S ribosomal RNA (5.8S rRNA) is a component of the large subunit of the eukaryotic ribosome. It is transcribed by RNA polymerase I as part of the 45S precursor that also contains 18S and 28S rRNA. Functionally, it is thought that 5.8S rRNA may be involved in ribosome translocation.
Source: RNAcentral
UGAAUUGCAGAAUCCCGUGAACCAUCGAGUCUUUGAACGCAAGUUGCGCCUGAAGCCAUUAGGCUAAGGGCACGUCUGCCUGGGCGUCACGCAUCGCAUCACCCCUUCACCAAUUCGAAGAAUGGGGUG